This is a long non-coding RNA of Gasterosteus aculeatus aculeatus (three-spined stickleback), 516 nucleotides long. Lineage: Eukaryota; Metazoa; Chordata; Actinopteri; Perciformes; Gasterosteidae. The record is from Ensembl.
GUUUAUGAUUACAGUAUUAUGAUUAUUAUUUACAAUAAUAAUGAUGAUGAUGGCAGCAGCAGCAGAUUCUUUGAGCAAAACAACGUCAGACAGCUUUUCGCAAAUCUUUUUAUUUCCUCUCACCCUAACACACACUUUUUUUCCAUGCAGCCCGUCUAGGUGGUCCGUGUCCUCCCACCUCCCACCUGGUCCCACUACCGGUUGCAUGAAGAGCAUGAUUAGAUUGCUGUCAGACUCUAGCACAGUCCCCAUCCAACCAUCGAUCGAACCAUCCACUCAUCCAUCCAUCCAACCAGUAAGAUAAAACUACAUUUACAAUCCCGCAAACAUUUGUAGUAACGCAAAUAUCAAUUCUACCAUCUUCUUUUCAUGAAGACAUUCUAAAAGAGUUAAAUCAAUAUUUCGGUCUUCGCUGCUUUUGAAAACCCAAUUUGCCUUUAAGUUCUAGACACACUAAAUGGACAAACAAUUGUCACUCAGGGUUUUGUAGCUUAGACCGCCGCCUUGCUCUCUCAU